This 492-nucleotide ribosomal RNA is filed under the name uncultured bacterium. RNAcentral's name for it is "partial 16S ribosomal RNA". It matches the Rfam family "Bacterial small subunit ribosomal RNA", at positions 29 to 507 of the family's 1533-position model. The record is from RNAcentral.
AGUGAACGCUGGCGGUAGGCCUAACACAUGCCAGUCGAACGGCAGCACAGUAAGAGCUUGCUCUUACGGGUGGCGAGUGGCGGACGGGUGAGGAAUACAUCGGAAUCUACUUUUUCGUGGGGGAUAACGUAGGGAAACUUACGCUAAUACCGCAUACGACCUACGGGUGAAAGCAGGGGAUCUUCGGACCUUGCGCGAUUGAAUGAGCCGAUGUCGGAUUAGCUAGUUGGCGGGGUAAAGGCCCACCAAGGCGACGAUCCGUAGCUGGUCUGAGAGGAUGAUCAGCCACACUGGAACUGAGACACGGUCCAGACUCCUACGGGAGGCAGCAGUGGGGAAUAUUGGACAAUGGGCGCAAGCCUGAUCCAGUCAUACCGCGUGGGUGAAGAAGGCCUUCGGGUUGUAAAGCCCUUUUGUUGGGAAAGAAAAGCAGCAGGUUAAUACCCCGCUGUUCUGACGGUACCCAAAGAAUAAGCACCGGCUAACUUCGUG